This 252-nucleotide ribosomal RNA is filed under the name uncultured bacterium. RNAcentral's name for it is "partial 16S ribosomal RNA". It matches the Rfam family "Bacterial small subunit ribosomal RNA", at positions 524 to 776 of the family's 1533-position model. The record is from RNAcentral.
UACGGGGGGGGCAAGCGUUGUUCGGAAUUACUGGGCGUAAGGGCUCGUAGGUGGCCAACUAAGUCAGACGUGAAAUCCCUCAGCUUAACUGGGGAACUGCGUCUGAUACUGGAUGGCUUGAGUUUGGGAGAGGGACGCGGAAUUCCAGGUGUAGCGGUGAAAUGCGUAGAUAUCUGGAGGAACACCGGUGGCGAAGGCGGCUCACUGGCCCGAUACUGACGCUGAGGCACGAAAGCGUGGGGAGCAAACAGG